RNAcentral lists this ribosomal RNA (253 nucleotides) under uncultured bacterium. RNAcentral describes it as "partial 16S ribosomal RNA". It matches the Rfam family "Bacterial small subunit ribosomal RNA", at positions 524 to 776 of the family's 1533-position model. The record is from RNAcentral.
AACGUAGGAGGCGAGCGUUAUCCGGAUUCACUGGGCGUAAAGCGCGUGUAGGCGGUUCGUCAAGUCGCUGGUGAAAGCCCUUGGCUCAACUGGGGGAGGUCCGGCGAAACUGAUGGACUGGAGGGCAGGAGAGGAGAGUGGAAUUCCCGGUGUAGCGGUGGAAUGCGUAGAGAUCGGGAGGAACACCAGUGGCGAAGGCGGCUCUCUGGCCUGCCCCUGACGCUGAGACGCGACAGCGUGGGGAGCAAACGGG